RNAcentral lists this ribosomal RNA (256 nucleotides) under uncultured bacterium. RNAcentral describes it as "partial 16S ribosomal RNA". It matches the Rfam family "Bacterial small subunit ribosomal RNA", at positions 524 to 777 of the family's 1533-position model. The record is from RNAcentral.
UACGUAGGGUGCAAGCGUUGUCCGGAAUUAUUGGGCGUAAAGAGCUCGUAGGCGGUUUGUCGCGUCUGCUGUGAAAACCCGAGGCUCAACCUCGGGCCUGCAGUGGGUACGGGGCAGACUAGAGUGCGGUAGGGGGAGAUUGGAAUUCCUGGUGUAGCGGUGGAAUGCGCAGAUAUCAGGAGGAACACCAAUGGCGAAGGCAGAUCUCUGGGCCGUAACUGACGCUGAGGAGCGAAAGCAUGGGGAGCGAACAGGG